GUAGGAUUAGAGCUCGACUAGACUGACAGCGCUCGCGUCUCAGCGCCAGAUAAACGACCAAAACAUAUUGCGUCAUCAUUCAGCGACACGAGACAGGACGAGAGAGUUCACGCACACCGCCGAGCUGUCACGAUUCACAGCAGUGCUGGCGGAAGUGACAUGAAGUUGAGAGUCUCACUAGAUAAUCUUCUGAAAGCUGAGUGUUUUGGCCGUUGGUGGAUUAUAGGAUCUUCCUGGAGUGGAGCACCAAUGAUCGAUGACCAUGGAAACAAGACAACCACCCCAUCCACCAAAGGGGAACUAUACAAAGAUGUUGGAGCUUGCACACAGGAGGAACAUUUUCUGUGUGCUUAUGUCAAGUGAAGACUAUUUGGAUGCCUUUGAGAAACUUUUAAGGUUUUCAGCAUAAUUUUGGUUUCUUAUUCUCACUGAUUUUCAGUGACAUUGGCCAUGUUGCCCAUUUUGGGAAGCUUAUUGACACAUUUAAUUGCAAAUUUAGGUUUUGAUCACAGUGUCAUGUAAUCCCAGAAUCAGUCUGAAACAUGGCACUUGUUAUUGACUUGCAGACCUACUUGUGAGAAGGAAUUGUAUAAAAUGACUGAAAAAGAAACAGAUUAAACAGAAACAGAUCUGCCUUAUUAGCAGGACACCGUUUCUUUUAGCAGCAAUUAUAUUGCAGAUCUUCUGAAAUGAUAACCUUGUGGGAUGAUGGCAAAUAUUUUAGUUAAGGUUAUCACACAAAGUUUUCUUUCAAUUUUUUGAAGUCCAGACUGAUUUCCUCCCGUGUAUUUCAAACAUGAUGCUCUGUGUUUGUAAUAUUUGUCAUAAACCAUUAUUUACCCACUUUUUCAGAAUGAUGAGUUUUGUAAAAAUGUACGUGUUUCAGAAGGCGGGCCAUAGAGGAACAACAAUAAUUUACAUUAUAUGGAAAAUAAUGUGUUUUUUGAACCUUAAACCGCAUAAACACAUUGCAUUACACCAAAUAAUGUUAUUUUUAGCAACGACAUAUGACCCCUUUAAUAUUACUCUGUCAUGUGCAAUAUGAUAAAAGAUCAGCUGUAGGAUUUUUAAUAUUCAAAUCAAUGAAUACUGAUAAUAGUCCGUUUACAUCUGAUUCUGCAGCAUAUGAUACUAAGUAGCUUGUAGCUGUUUACUAUAAGUUAAUUACAAUUAAACAUUCAUCCAUUUUGUAAAAGUAAACCCUAUCUGCUUUUCUUCUGUGCUUUAGAUGACAAGUUCAAAGACCUGACAAACCUUUCAGUAGGUCCUUCAGUAUCCUGGUCCAGCUGGUCACUCAUCUUUUACACAAGAAGUGUCUCUCUCUUUCCAUUCUUAAGGUAAUGUUUGGUGAAGUUCACCCCUCACCAAGAAGCCAUUCUAGAAUGCAUGAGGGGUUUGUAUAUGUAAUGUUGUAGUAUAUAUGUGUAAUAUUCUUCAUCCUCUUUAUGAAUCACUUACAAAUGACUUAAAGAAUGGCAGCUUAAUUUUAUGUCUUUUCAUAAGGCAAUUGAGUUUCUGAAGCAGAUUCUCUCAAAACUCCUUAAAGAAACUGAUCUUGUGAAUAUAUUUGGCAGGAUCUCUGGAAUUCCCAAGCUGGGAAUGCUUCGAGAAGGCUUGAAGCUUUUCGUCAGUCACUUUCUACUCCGGAACAUCCAGACACAAGAAACUGAGCAUGCCAAGGUACUCAGGGAUAGAGCUGAGGUCGCCACUAAAGCCAUGGAGGCCCAGGAUGCAAAAAUUAAGCUAUGGAGCUGUUGCACACAGAAAUGUGUGCAUAAUGCAUCAGACUCAAAGAAAAAAAAUAUAUAACACUGUGUUAUGCGUAAAUAUUUGGGCUUAUUGUAAUGUGUAUUAUAAUACACAUUAUAUUUAUUAUAAUAGAAAAUCACAAUGGUCUGCUUCAUAGUAAUUCUUAGUUUUUUUUUUUUUUUAAAUCCAGAGACAUUUCCCAAGCAGAUAAAGAAAAUAAUAUAAUUCAUUCUUCUGGUGCUCAUUAAUUUCCAAUGCACAUAUAUUCAGUAUCUGUUCUGGAAACAAUUUAGCCUCUGAGUUUUAGACUUGAAUAGCUUACCGCAUCUAAACAAAACUGUAUUAACUUCAUUCAGAAAAGAGCACAAACGUGCAUUGCUUUAUUCAUCAUGAAAUGUAGGUUCAUUGCAAUUGUCUGAAGCAUCUGCACAUGCAGCAGUACUCUGGACAUGACUGUCUAGCAUAACAUACCAGAGGGCUACCGUUACAGUACAUUUGAUGCCCUUAUUAAUUCAUUAGCAACAUAGGCAUUAAUGACAUCAAUCCACAGCAUGAAGUGAUCAGAGCAUGAUCUAUCAACAAAUGGGGUCAGACAGCUUAAAUGUCACUCUCACAGCUCUACAACAAAAGAUAAACUGUGUAUUUAUAUUUGAUUAAUUAAACCUUAUCACAUCCUGUGGUGUCAGCUCAAACAGGCCAUUACAUUACAGCCUGUAAUAAAUACACAACAGUCUGGCUGUUUUUUUUUCUCACAGUUUGAAAGCUGGAAAAAUUAGAGUUACCUACAGAUGGCCCACUUUUCCACCCUUUGACAAAGACAACAUUGUCACAACAUGUGAGGAGAAGCGUAUAAUGGGGGUCCAGCCCACUAAGAUACACACAGGUGAUUGUAAAUAGUGUGUGCUAUUGUCUGUCUGUGUGAGGCCAGAGGAAGGUUGAUACUGACCCUAGUUUGAACUGGAAAUAGGAAACUAAGUUGCCUUUGAACUGAUAAGACCACAGUUAAAAUACUGUUUGUGAGGAUAUUACAUGUUUUUGUGCAAAGGACUAAAUAUGAGAAAUGUGACAGUGUUCAUGCAUCAAAAAUUCAACAUUAUUGGCUUGUUCUUUUAUGUUUCACUUCAAAUGUUUCGUGUGUAGAAGGUUAUAUGAAACACUUGCACUGGCCCCUACUGACAAAUCACAUGGCGCAUAAUUCGAACAUAUCUAUAUCAUGUGGUUUAUUAUGCAUUUAUUACAUGUUUUGUCUCACCAUUCACGAUCUCAAGUAAGUGUCCCACCCCGCUCACUUGUGUGUGGUUUUCUUUCCCAAUCGUUAGAGGGUGGUAGUAGCACUGAUAAGGAUGGGUCUUUGUACUUACACAGCUGGGUAAACGUACAGGUAGAGUGAAUUAGACAUUAGUUAAAUCAGUAACUAAUGUUUCCUAAAUUGACUACUACCUGUUCAACGCCAGAUUAAUUGUGUAUUUGAAUAAAUCAUUGUUUACUGUUGUUUUGGAUAAUUGAAGCUUUUGUUUAUAUAGAUGUUCUUAUAACAUUAAUCAUAAUAUGUUAUAGCUACAUUAAACUGAACCCAUUUCAACAUAAAUAUUUUGUUAAUUUGACUCGAAAUUCCUGUUUCUGUAUAAAAUGCUGUCCUCUUGUUUGAAUACCCCACUAGCCUUUUAGAACCCAGGAAUAAUGCAGUCAAGUUAAGCCGUGAUUUUUAGUUUCUACAUGCAUCGCUUAGUCACAUUAUAGGGCUGGUAAACUCUGUUUUAGAGUUAUGAAAGGGGAGUUCAUUGUAGAGAGUCAAUUCACUAAAAUCCACAGCUUAUUAUACUAAAUGUGUUUUGGACUGAUUAUUUUCCACUGAGAAUAUGGCUUAAAGUGGCUUAGUAAAUGAAAAACAGAACAUUUCAGAUCACAUUCAGUGUACGAGUAGAUAGCUGUCAUGGCCCUGGACUGAUAGGACUGGAUAGUGAUUAUAUUUAAAUGUCCUCUAAUUGAUUCGAAGAAGCUCCUUGGCAAAGACCAGAUGGAUCUCUGGGUUUAUUACCCAAUAAAAGCUUGUCGUUAUUAAUAAAGAAGGAAAUGCACUUAUG
Long non-coding RNA from Cyprinus carpio (common carp), 3833 nucleotides. RefSeq lists it as uncharacterized. The record is from RefSeq and is a predicted model, not a curated record. NCBI's taxonomy places the organism in Eukaryota, Metazoa, Chordata, Actinopteri, Cypriniformes, Cyprinidae. The transcript has 4 exons.